RNAcentral lists this ribosomal RNA (2904 nucleotides) under Enterobacter cloacae. RNAcentral describes it as "23S ribosomal RNA". It matches the Rfam family "Bacterial large subunit ribosomal RNA". The record is from RNAcentral. Lineage: Bacteria; Pseudomonadati; Pseudomonadota; Gammaproteobacteria; Enterobacterales; Enterobacteriaceae.
GGUUAAGCGACUAAGCGUACACGGUGGAUGCCCUGGCAGUCAGAGGCGAUGAAGGACGUGCUAAUCUGCGAAAAGCGCCGGCGAGGUGAUAUGAACCUUUGACCCGGCGAUGUCCGAAUGGGGAAACCCAGUGCAAUUCGUUGCACUAUCGUUAACUGAAUACAUAGGUUAACGAGGCGAACCGGGGGAACUGAAACAUCUAAGUACCCCGAGGAAAAGAAAUCAACCGAGAUUCCCCCAGUAGCGGCGAGCGAACGGGGAGCAGCCCAGAGUCUGAAUCAGCUUGUGUGUUAGUGGAAGCGUCUGGAAAGUCGCAGGGUACAGGGUGAUACUCCCGUACACGAAAGCACACUUGCUGUGAACUCGAAGAGUAGGGCGGGACACGUGGUAUCCUGUCUGAAUAUGGGGGGACCAUCCUCCAAGGCUAAAUACUCCUGACUGACCGAUAGUGAACCAGUACCGUGAGGGAAAGGCGAAAAGAACCCCGGCGAGGGGAGUGAAAAAGAACCUGAAACCGUGUACGUACAAGCAGUGGGAGCACCUUCGGGUGUGACUGCGUACCUUUUGUAUAAUGGGUCAGCGACUUAUAUUCUGUAGCAAGGUUAACCGUAUAGGGGAGCCGAAGGGAAACCGAGUCUUAACUGGGCGUUAAGUUGCAGGGUAUAGACCCGAAACCCGGUGAUCUAGCCAUGGGCAGGUUGAAGGUUGGGUAACACUAACUGGAGGACCGAACCGACUAAUGUUGAAAAAUUAGCGGAUGACUUGUGGCUGGGGGUGAAAGGCCAAUCAAACCGGGAGAUAGCUGGUUCUCCCCGAAAGCUAUUUAGGUAGCGCCUCGUGAACUCAUCUUCGGGGGUAGAGCACUGUUUCGGCUAGGGGGCCAUCCCGGCUUACCAACCCGAUGCAAACUACGAAUACCGAAGAAUGUUAUCACGGGAGACACACGGCGGGUGCUAACGUCCGUCGUGAAGAGGGAAACAACCCAGACCGCCAGCUAAGGUCCCAAAGUCAUGGUUAAGUGGGAAACGAUGUGGGAAGGCCCAGACAGCCAGGAUGUUGGCUUAGAAGCAGCCAUCAUUUAAAGAAAGCGUAAUAGCUCACUGGUCGAGUCGGCCUGCGCGGAAGAUGUAACGGGGCUAAACCAUGCACCGAAGCUGCGGCAGCGACACUAUGUGUUGUUGGGUAGGGGAGCGUUCUGUAAGCCGUUGAAGGUGACCUGUGAGGGUUGCUGGAGGUAUCAGAAGUGCGAAUGCUGACAUAAGUAACGAUAAAGCGGGUGAAAAGCCCGCUCGCCGGAAGACCAAGGGUUCCUGUCCAACGUUAAUCGGGGCAGGGUGAGUCGACCCCUAAGGCGAGGCCGAAAGGCGUAGUCGAUGGGAAACAGGUUAAUAUUCCUGUACUUGGUGUUACUGCGAAGGGGGGACGGAGAAGGCUAUGUUAGCCGGGCGACGGUUGUCCCGGUUUAAGCAUGUAGGCGGAGGUUCCAGGUAAAUCCGGUACCUUUUUAACGCUGAGGUGUGAUGACGAGGCACUACGGUGCUGAAGUAACAAAUGCCCUGCUUCCAGGAAAAGCCUCUAAGCAUCAGGUAACAUCAAAUCGUACCCCAAACCGACACAGGUGGUCAGGUAGAGAAUACCAAGGCGCUUGAGAGAACUCGGGUGAAGGAACUAGGCAAAAUGGUGCCGUAACUUCGGGAGAAGGCACGCUGAUAUGUAGGUGAAGCCCCUGCGGGUGGAGCUGAAAUCAGUCGAAGAUACCAGCUGGCUGCAACUGUUUAUUAAAAACACAGCACUGUGCAAACACGAAAGUGGACGUAUACGGUGUGACGCCUGCCCGGUGCCGGAAGGUUAAUUGAUGGGGUUAGCGGUAACGCGAAGCUCUUGAUCGAAGCCCCGGUAAACGGCGGCCGUAACUAUAACGGUCCUAAGGUAGCGAAAUUCCUUGUCGGGUAAGUUCCGACCUGCACGAAUGGCGUAAUGAUGGCCAGGCUGUCUCCACCCGAGACUCAGUGAAAUUGAACUCGCUGUGAAGAUGCAGUGUACCCGCGGCAAGACGGAAAGACCCCGUGAACCUUUACUAUAGCUUGACACUGAACACUGGUCCUUGAUGUGUAGGAUAGGUGGGAGGCUUUGAAGCGUGGACGCCAGUCUGCGUGGAGCCAACCUUGAAAUACCACCCUUUAAUGGCUGGUGUUCUAACGUAGACCCGUGAUCCGGGUUGCGGACAGUGUCUGGUGGGUAGUUUGACUGGGGCGGUCUCCUCCCAAAGAGUAACGGAGGAGCACGAAGGUUAGCUAAUCCUGGUCGGACAUCAGGAGGUUAGUGCAAUGGCAUAAGCUAGCUUGACUGCGAGAGUGACGGCUCGAGCAGGUGCGAAAGCAGGUCAUAGUGAUCCGGUGGUUCUGAAUGGAAGGGCCAUCGCUCAACGGAUAAAAGGUACUCCGGGGAUAACAGGCUGAUACCGCCCAAGAGUUCAUAUCGACGGCGGUGUUUGGCACCUCGAUGUCGGCUCAUCACAUCCUGGGGCUGAAGUAGGUCCCAAGGGUAUGGCUGUUCGCCAUUUAAAGUGGUACGCGAGCUGGGUUUAGAACGUCGUGAGACAGUUCGGUCCCUAUCUGCCGUGGGCGCUGGAGAAUUGAGGGGGGCUGCUCCUAGUACGAGAGGACCGGAGUGGACGCAUCACUGGUGUUCGGGUUGUCAUGCCAAUGGCACUGCCCGGUAGCUAAAUGCGGAAGAGAUAAGUGCUGAAAGCAUCUAAGCACGAAACUUGCCCCGAGAUGAGUUCUCCCUGAGACUUAAAGUCUCCUGAAGGAACGUUGAAGACGACGACGUUGAUAGGUCGGGUGUGUAAGCGCAGCGAUGCGUUGAGCUAACCGAUACUAAUGAACCGUGAGGCUUAACCUU